RNAcentral lists this ribosomal RNA (452 nucleotides) under uncultured Planctomyces sp. RNAcentral describes it as "bacterial SSU rRNA". It matches the Rfam family "Bacterial small subunit ribosomal RNA", at positions 336 to 796 of the family's 1533-position model. Lineage: Bacteria; Pseudomonadati; Planctomycetota; Planctomycetia; Planctomycetales; Planctomycetaceae. The record is from RNAcentral.
UUCCUACGGGUGGCUGCAGUCGAGAAUCUUCCGCAAUGGGCGAAAGCCUGACGGAGCGACGCCGCGUGCGGGAUGAAGGCCCUUGGGUUGUAAACCGCUGUCAGGGGGGAUGAAGGCCGCAAGGCUUGACAGAGCCCCAGCGGAAGCACGGGCUAAGUUCGUGCCAGCAGCCGCGGUAAGACGAACUGUGCGAACGUUAUUCGGAAUCACUGGGCUUACAGGGUGCGUAGGCGGCCUGUUAAGUAGGGUGUGAAAUCCCCCGGCCCAACCGGGGAAUUGCGCUCUAAACUAGCAGGCUUGAGUGAGCUAGGGGUGCACGGAACUUCCAGUGGAGCGGUGAAAUGUGUUGAUAUUGGAAGGAACACCGGAGGCGAAAGCGGUGCACUGGGGCUUAACUGACGCUGAGGCACGAAAGCCAGGGUAGCGAACGGGAUUAGAUACCCUAGUAGUCA